This 427-nucleotide ribosomal RNA is filed under the name uncultured bacterium. Its description in RNAcentral is "bacterial SSU rRNA". It matches the Rfam family "Bacterial small subunit ribosomal RNA", at positions 355 to 774 of the family's 1533-position model. The record is from RNAcentral.
UGGGGAAUUUUGGACAAUGGGGGCAACCCUGAUCCAGCCAUCCCGCGUGUGCGAUGAAGGCCUUCGGGUUGUAAAGCACUUUUGGCAGGGAAGAAACAGCCUGGGCUAAUAUCCCGGGCGACUGACGGUACCUGCAGAAUAAGCACCGGCUAACUACGUGCCAGCAGCCACGGUAAUACGUAGGGUGCAAGCGUUAAUCGGAAUUACUGGGCGUAAAGCGUGCGCAGGCGGUUCGGAAAGAAAGGUGUGAAAUCCCAGGGCUUAACCUUGGAACUGCACUUUUAACUACCGGGCUAGAGUACGUCAGAGGGGGGUAGAAUUCCACGUGUAGCAGUGAAAUGCGUAGAGAUGUGGAGGAAUACCGAUGGCGAAGGCAGCCCCCUGGGAUGAUACUGACGCUCAUGCACGAAAGCGUGGGGAGCAAACA